UACCGAACCGUCNACAGGUGUUGUUGCUGGCUCUCUAACAUGAGCAUGGUGCACACUCUGUCUACACAUCCACUCACACCUGUGCACCCUUCUGUAGUUCUGCGGCCUGGGGGGCCUGCCCUCCUUCCGUAGCUCUACGUCUUUACACACUCACUGUAACAAAGUCUUAUGGAAUGUUUUCUGCGUUCGACGCAAUAAAAUACAACUUUCAGCAACGGAUCUCUUGGCUCUCGCAUCGAUGAAGAACGCAGCGAAAUGCGAUAAGUAAUGUGAAUUGCAGAAUUCAGUGAAUCAUCGAAUCUUUGAACGCACCUUGCGCCCCUCGGCCAUUCCUUGGGGCAUGCCUGUUUGAGUAUCAUGAACACCUCAACCCUCACGGUUCGCCGUGAUGGGCUUGGACUCUGGGGGUUUGCUGGCUCGUGUGGUCGGCUCCCCUCAAAUGAAUCAGCUUUCCAGCGUUCUGGUGGCAUCACGGGUGUGAUAACUAUCUACGCUCGCGCUUGUCCGCUGGGUAACCUUUGGUGACNAAGGUUCGUUGGGGCUUACAAACGUCUCUCCUCAGCGAAGACAGCCUUUGAAAGUUCGAUCUCAAAUCAGGUAGGACUACCCGCUGAACUUAAGCAUAUCAAUAAGCGGAGGAAAAGAAACUAACAAGGAUUCCCCUAGU
RNAcentral lists this ribosomal RNA (667 nucleotides) under uncultured Thelephoraceae. RNAcentral describes it as "eukaryotic LSU rRNA". The stretch from base 204 to 358 matches the Rfam family "5.8S ribosomal RNA". Lineage: Eukaryota; Fungi; Basidiomycota; Agaricomycetes; Thelephorales; Thelephoraceae. The record is from RNAcentral.